UCAGGCCUAACACAUGCAAGUCGUACGGGAAUUUUUAAUUCAAGUGGCGGACGGGUGAGUAACACGUAAGAAUUUGCCUUUAGGAGGGGGACAACAACUGGAAACGGUUGCUAAUACCCCAUAUGCUUUCGAGUGAAAUGGAUUUUUCCGCCUAAAGAGAAGCUUGCGGCUGAUUAGCUUGUUGGUGAGGUAAUGGCUCACCAAGGCGACGAUCAGUAUCUGGUUUGAGAGGAUGAUCAGACACACUGGAACUGAGACACGGCCCAGACUCCUACGGGAGGCAGCAGUGGGGAAUUUUCCGCAAUGGGCGAAAGCCUGACGGAGCAAUCUCGCGUGAGGGAUGACGGCCUAUGGGUUGUAAACCUCUUUUUCAGGGAGGAACAAAAUGAC
Molecule: ribosomal RNA, 390 nt
Filed under: uncultured bacterium
Lineage: Bacteria
Description: bacterial SSU rRNA
Rfam family: Bacterial small subunit ribosomal RNA
Source: RNAcentral